ACCCGGGUGAAUGGGCGGCUUUGUGUGCGAGGCAUGAAUGAGGGCCUUUGUGAGGGCCGGCGUGGGGGGGCGGCUGGAGGCCGGAAUGCCUGGGUCCCCCGGGAGCCGGCGGGCAUGAGAGAAGGGAGAGAGAAUUCACUUUUGUCGAACGCCGACCGUGUACCAGGCACUCUCCCGGGCUCUCACCCAUCUGGAGAUGGGAAAACCGAGGCUCAGGCGAGGUAGGCAACUUCCCAAGGUCACAAGGUGAAGGCUCCACUGAACCCUGAGGUGGUGCCCACGCCAGCAGCUAGCGUGUUGCUGAUGAGCCCUGCACUACUGGUCCCAUUUUACAAGCGUCUGCUGAGUCUCCAGGCAGGGAAAGGAACAAGAGAGAGAGGACAUCUGGAACAAGGAAAGAAGCCAGAGAGAGGGAAAAGUUGAGAGGAAAGGCAUGGAGAAUGAUGAGACAGAAGAUGAGAGCUGGAGUUGGACCAAGGGCAUACACAGGUGAGGGCAUCCAACCCCCAACGCAUGUGGUCAGCAAUUGCAAAGAAUGAUGGUAUCAGGAAGUGGACAGUGAUUAAGUCAUGAAGAUGGAGCCCUCAGGAUUUCAAUUAAUGCCCUUAUAAAAGAGCCCCCUACCCCCACACCAUGUAUAGAUUCAACGAGAAGCCUGUGACCCUAAAGAAGGCCCUCACACGACCAUCCUGGCACACUGAACUCCGACUUUCAGCCUCCAGAACCGUGAGAAAUGAAUGUCAGCUGUUUAUAAGCUACCUGUCUACGGCAUUUUGUUACAGCAGCUGAACAGACUAAGAUGAUUAUCACGACAGGCCGGGAGUGCUGCUGGGUUGAGCCCAGGGAUGCUGUUCAACAUCCUACAGCGCAUGGGACAGCCUCGCAACAAGGACUCAUCAGCCCCAAUGUCAGUAGCACGGAGGCUGAGAAACCCCGCCCUGGAGCCUCACUCCUUAUUGCAUGGAUAACGUGCAUGGAUAAUACAGUCUCCAUGAAAGCGACAGCUACAAAGCCAGCCUGACAGGGGCACGGGUAUCAAGUCAAAAACCAUGAGCUGCUUUGCUGUCAGACCCGGGAUUUUUUUUCCCCAAAUGGUGAUCAACUCCUGCUGACGUUCCUAGUACCAUGGAGCGAAACCUCACAAUUUACACGCCAGCCACACCCCGGAACAGUGGGUGUAAACUCAGACUGGGCAACGAGUAUUUCAUGUUUGUGUGUAAAACAGAGUUAAGUUCCAGGCUCAGAUCAUUAUAAACAGGUUUUCCAUCUGCCCACAUUCUCUUCUCUUUCGCUCCCAAGAGGCUAAUGCUCCCUGCCCAAGGCUACAUAGCCAGGAUUCUAACCCUCCACUCUUAUCUUCAAAAAACAAAUCUUGGUUACUCCAUUCCUGCGUGUACUCAUUUUUACAUGCAUUCCUCCAUUCAUCAUUCAUCCAAUAAAUACGUACUCUGGGCAUCUACUGUGUGCUAGGCGCUGGGGGUACA
Vicugna pacos (alpaca) is the source of this 1484-nucleotide non-coding RNA. The record is from RefSeq and is a predicted model, not a curated record. NCBI's taxonomy places the organism in Eukaryota, Metazoa, Chordata, Mammalia, Artiodactyla, Camelidae.